ACCAGGAAAAGUUUUGCAGGUCCUGGAAAAAUAAAACCAAAGAAAGGGAAGGAGAAAACGUAUUCUGUCCUCAUCGGAAAAACUGAAAUACGCCAGGAAUCGGAGACUUUUCAAAACUUUGUAUUUGACAGUUUAUUUCAGAACUUCGGAGUAGCAUAUACACUAUCAAAUACUUUUAAAAAAACACACCACAAUCUAGGUUUUGUGGUCGUUGCAACAUACAUACGCA
This 229-nucleotide long non-coding RNA is filed under the name Pogona vitticeps (central bearded dragon). RNAcentral's name for it is "lncRNA (ENSPVIG00000005926.1)". Lineage: Eukaryota; Metazoa; Chordata; Lepidosauria; Squamata; Agamidae. The record is from RNAcentral.